AAACAAAACCAGUACCAACUAAAUGUUAGGUACAUGGGCGUCCGCAGGAAUUUUUCCGGGGGGUUGGGAUAACUGUAAUGGCAUCCAUGCCUGGCCCCUUUUUGACCGUGUCAUGAAUGGGAGGGGCAUUAUUAUCACAUAAAGCCAGGGUGACCAGAUUUUGGAAAUAAAAAACCGGGACACCCAUUAGGCAAAGAGGCGAAGCAGGGCGAGCCAUGCAGAGAUCAGUGUGACGCUGGAAAUAAGGGGAGUGAAAAUACAUUUUUAACAAGGGGGGGCAGUAUAUGUAAAUAGCGUUUUCACAAAUAUGGUGUCAGGAAUACAUGUUUGUGUUUCUUACACUAUAGUGUUCCUUUUAAGCAAAUUAAAAG
Non-coding RNA from Pelobates cultripes (western spadefoot toad), 371 nucleotides. Lineage: Eukaryota; Metazoa; Chordata; Amphibia; Anura; Pelobatidae. The record is from the annotation of a GenBank genome assembly.